CUAUGACCUAGUUAUCCCCAUAACCAUUUCAUUUUAAGGACCUAAUAAUUUUAGAGGAUUUCAUAAUUAGGAUAGAUAAGAAGAUCCGGUUAGUCUAAUUUCUUCCACUGACUUCACCAAAUCAGAUUAGACUCAAACCGGUUAAGGAGGCACCUAAAUCAGUCAAACUGAUUUUCCUUAUAGGCAUGGGCUAACUCGAGUCAUUAAGUGAUCCAAUCAAAAUGUGAUUGACCAUGUCGGCCAGGUAAGUGAGAUCGGUG
This 260-nucleotide long non-coding RNA is filed under the name Phoenix dactylifera (date palm). Its description in RNAcentral is "long non-coding RNA (PDAC_LNC011891)". Lineage: Eukaryota; Viridiplantae; Streptophyta; Magnoliopsida; Arecales; Arecaceae. The record is from RNAcentral.